This 26-nucleotide non-coding RNA is filed under the name Rattus norvegicus (Norway rat). The record is from RNAcentral. Lineage: Eukaryota; Metazoa; Chordata; Mammalia; Rodentia; Muridae.
UUACUAUGAACUUGACUUUGAUGCCA